UCAUCGCUCGUGUCUAAGGGCCAUGCCCAUGUCUCUUGAGGACGGUGUAGUCACAUCUCCCGCCCUACUGCUUCCAAGACAUCAUCUUUGCAUUUUUUACGGCUGCGUGGUAAUCCACGGUGUGGCUGUACUUUCUUUUUUUUUAAAUCUACCUAUUAUCCUGUACGUCAGCGUAUUUCCAGCAUGUCUGUUCAGAGGGUCCAGAGGCCACGACACCCCAGGAGCAGUGAACAUGAUUAACGCCCGGAUCUCAUUUCUAAAUACGAUUUGCCACUAAAUGUAACGAAGGCUCUUUGGAGAAGUGUUUGAUUGCAGAGCCAGGCAGAGAAAGGACAGGAUGAGCCUGGGAGACUGUUGCAUCGGAGAGUAAGGAAGAGCUUACGGCAUGAUGAGGGCAGUCACGGGACGGGGACCAGCCCGGCGGCCAAAGCCUAGGACAAUCUGAGCAUCGAGACAUGACAAUGACAAACUAAAACCCGCUGAGUACGAUAUCAAUCCAUGAGCCUAUACGUACACGGGGAGAACGUGAAAAUUCCUUCCUUAGCAGAAUUUCACCGGUCCACGCAGAAUUAUUGAUAAAUCCGGAAAAUCACCUUUUGGCUGCCACCAUAGUGAUACUUCAGGCAAGAAUAACUGACCGAUGCUAAAACCAGCGAGUGAAAGUUGGAUGAGAAAGAAGAUAUUUACUACAUGGCAGCCGAGUUGGUCCCCGUGAAAUAUUUACUGCUUACAAGGGUUAAAAGGAUUGAGCACGUGCGAUGUGUGUACACGGCGUAUGCUCGGGACGGCCGCUUCUAAAAAAGGAUGUUGCUGAGGCCAUUUGUGAGACGUGAAUCAAAGCUGAGUCUGAGCUCAAACUAUUACGUUAUUGCUGAUUUCCCAAGUUUGACCAUCGAACUCUCAUAAGGAGAACGUCCUUAUUUUUAUGAAACACACGCUGGAGUAUUUAGGGGUCGAGGGACAUUAUAUCUGCAAUUUAUUCUCGAAGGUUCAGAUUUCACGUGAACACACACAAAUACAUCCUGAGAGCGAGCGAGAGGCAGGCUAUGAGCCACUGUGGUAAGAUGUCGGCACCGGGGACCCCGGACGGGGGAAAGGCACCUGGGAAUUCUUUGUGUUACUUCUGCAACUUUUCUGUAAGUUUCAAAACAUCAAAGUAAAAUGUCAUUUUUCCAAAGGAAUUCAGAAAUAAAGCGGUCAGGGCGAGACAGCAGCAUCGGCCGGCACCUCCUUCUGCCGUGUCCGAUGGUAGAAUCACCACCCGAGCGGGCCCUUGGGGGCCCAGGGAGCUGUCCGCGUCACUGAGGGAGGGGAGAGGCUUCUGGACCUUCUUCCCUGGCUUCCGCCAAAUAAUACUCAGCUCCCAGCCCGGCCCGGGCGGGCUUGCUGGCCCCUUCCAGGGACACGUGCAUGGCAGCCACCAGAGGGCGCCCUCCCAGGGGACCGCCCGGGGUGCCAGGCCGCAUAGCUCGGCGGUGUGCUGGCUGGACUUUUCAGGAAAUCUGAAUGCCACGCAUACCUUUCCUUUCUCUGUGGGCAGGCAAGAUGGGUCACGUUCCUCUGAAGUCCGCUCAGCCCUGGGCCUCAGACCUCACCAGCUGCCUGGAUCCGGAAGGCUCCAGCCGGGCGGCUGCGGUCAGGACGGCUCAGGUGGGGUCUGAGGCUGGCGGGACGGUGUCACCGCAUGGGCAAGCCCGGGAAACCAUCACUGAGCCGGGCACAGGGUCGAGCUCAUGCAGCUGUGGAUUCUGGAGACCCGUGGGGACGGGCCCAGGGCCGCUGGUACGACCUCCCUUUCCUGAGCAGCCCCGGAGGGCGGGGGGAGCUGGGCGCGGGCCUGUCACCCAUUGCACGCGGUCUCCCUCACAGCGCCCAGCACGAGUCCUCAGGACGGCGGCGUCUGCCUCGUCCGUCCACUCGCUCCUCCCUCCCUCGUUCACACGGCCGCUCUGACAUCGGGACUCCGGGGCACAGACUGCAGUGACGGGCACAGCGGACGUCCGGCAGGCGAGCCUGGCAGGCUCCCCGAGCCGCAGACUCGGAGACGGGACCGGCCUGCGGGAGGCGAGUCAGGGCCUUGGGAUCCUCGUGCGAGACAAGAAUGGGAGGCGGCAGGGCUGGGCCCAGGACGGCCUCGAGGGGCAGUGCAGACUCUGCUGGACCCUUACAGAAAGUUCUGGAGCUGGGACGGCCCCUCGGAGCUGCUCUGCUUGGCACGCAGGGGGCUGACCCUGCAGCCAUGAUGCCCGCUCCCUUCUCAGCCGGCCUCCAGCCUGGGGGGCGGGGAGAGGCCUUGGGCAGCAUCGCCGGCUGUGGCCGCAGCCCCUCUGUCUCCCAGUCCUGCCAGACAGACCCACUUCCAGUCUCUGCCGGGUCACCGCUGGGUGCCCCCACCCCCUGCUGACCUUCACCUCUGGCACCCAGGGAGGCGGAGGUGCCUCUGAUCUCGGGCGGGCUCUGCAGCCCCUCGCUCGCCGUUAUAACCACGCAGUCCCUGGGUCCCGUGUUUUAACGCCGGAUUUGGCGGUUCUGUGCCGCCGGGAGGCCCUGCCUGAUACGUAAGGUGAACGGGCUCCUUAAAAGAAGACAGGAAAGGUGUCAGCACGGAGGUUCUGCAGAGUAACCAGCCUUGAGUGCCCGACCCAAACGCCGGGGGAUCAGAGCCGGGGGACCACAGCCUGCCCCUGCCGUGUUUAAGCGGGCGGACCGCCGCGGCUGCCAGGCCGUCCAGCUCCGGGGGUGGCUGCCGGCGAGCUGAGGCAGGGAGGCUGUCGGCACUGGGGAGCCCCUGGCCUGUGAGGCCCAGACGCGGAGACUCAAAAUGAACAUCUUAAACGCCCGAGUUCCCUCCUCCACACGCAGUACGAAGCCCUUUGCGUUUUAUGAGAAAACAGACUUGUAUUUGAAAAAUAAACUCGAGUUGCUGGGAGAGGGAGGAGGAGCCGUGUACGAUCCAGUAUGGAGGUGGAGAGGAAGGACCAGAAGGUUCCCAAGGGAAAUACAGGUCUCUGGAAAGCGCGCUCGAAUUUCGCAUGGCUCUCGGGACAUCCUCUGGCACGGCCCCCGACGGGCAGCAGGGUUGAAAGGGCGGAGAGGCAGCGAGGGGACAGAUCUGGCCCGUGCCAGGAGCGCGGCCGCCCACGGGGACUCUCAGUUUCUUAAUUUAACUGAACAGAAAAUGAAAUUUCCUUGAGUGUUCGAAGCCCACGCGACCUUGGUCAUGGUUGUGAGCUGGUCCCGACGCCGACCGUCCCACAUCUCUGGCAAAACCCCAACAUUCCUCUGGCACCCCCCACCCCCCGAUCCUCUGUGCCCCCAAAGUUCCCAGCCCGGCUUGCUUCCAGCCGUGCCAGCCAUCGUCCUGCUGCUCGUGACCACGGAGGGCGGGAUUUUCCGCAGUGCGGUCGCGACCCCACCCCUGCGUGCCGACUGCGUGGGUCAGAGAAAGCGCCCUUUUAAAACGAGUGGGAGUCACGGAGAGCAGAACGCGCCGGCCGGGGCAGACGCUGGUCCGUGAGACACGGCUUCCAGCCGCACGCGCUGGCGCCGGACGCCGACGCGCACGGCAUUCUCACCGGGGGCUGAGGUCGGAAAGGCCUGAACCACCGCCGGGAGCAGCUGCCAGGCCUCGUUCGAACACUCCGAGCCGGGCGCGGCCUUUGCCGGCUGACGUGGGCUCUCUGAGUCCUGGGGGACGCUGGCACAUUUUCCUUCUUGCCUGUCCCUCAGAUACCAUGGCUGUGACCUAGAGUAGCCCUCGGUGUAAUCAGAGUAGGUGGCUGUCCGGGUCAGCGAUUUUCAACACCUUUUUUCUAGUAGGACAAAGAUAACGUCCCCGUAGCCCGCGGGGCUGACUUCCGUCGGUAGCGGUCACUCGGUGUGGACUGCUGCCCACGCAGACGAGAUGCUAUUUCUUGCUCAGUGGGGGCCAGGUGGCAAAAUGCCUGGUGUCUCAGUCCCUGAAAGCCAUCGCCGCAUGACCCUGGGGUUCUGGACAGAUGACCGCUUCCAAAAGGUAUCCGUCACAUCUGGCUUAACGUUCGGAACCCCUGCUCAGUUACACAGCGAACGUGCCAGCCGCCCCCGAGUCUGCAGCCUCAGCUCUGUCCGUCACGGCCAUCCCUCCAGCCCGAGCGCCUCUGCCAGGGCCGCCCCUGAAAGCCGGCAUCAGCCUGAGGGAGGAGGGGGGCCCUGGGCACCGGGAUUCUGCCCCUUCACAGUCGUGACGACGGCCAGCCCCUUCCCUGCAAGUUCCCGCCACUUCCCAGCCACCCCUCACCCGGAUGCACGUGCAGAGCCAGACGUGAGCCCAGCCCGGGGCCUGGGCCCUUCCCAGGGAGGGCAGUGCUCAGAGGCCUUGGGCUCGGGCGGCUCAAGGCUCUGCCCGGUGCUGGGGACCAGAGUGGGGGAGCACGCAGUAGGCACGUGACAUGGCCAGCACACGACUUCCCACGAGGCAGAAGCAGAGAAGCACCCACGAGGAACACAGCCUGUGCGGGCACCUGAAAUGACGGCAGACCGCCCCAGGCAGGUACCAUCAGUAAGGCUCUCAGGGAGCGCUGGCCUGAGAGCUCCGUCAUGAUUCCCGUACGACCCUUGCAGUCCUGACCUGAUAACCGGACACUGACGGUGGCGACGGCGGCAUCGUAUGAAGGGGUCAGGUGACUUUGUGACAUCGACAGGACGAGUCACUCGAUACUGUUUUUGAGCGCCUACUGUGUGCAGAGCCCACAGGGAACAAACGCACCUCCAGGAACUGUGAUAAGCAGCGAUUUCAGACUCAAUUUCGUCUCCCUUUUCUGUGACGCCACAUACACGGCCGCAUGAUAGAGCUCAAACGAAACAUUCGGCCCACACGAGAGUCUUCUAGAAAGGACGCAGAGACGUGUCAUCAAGUGAAUGUGGGCGGAGGGGGGAAGCUGCAGAGCUGUGUCUUUGCUCCUUCAACGUCACUAUGGCUGCACAACUGUACUUAUCAAAAUCCGGUUCCUUUCCAAGGAGCGGGGCUUGCAAGACGACUCUCGUCAAAGAGAGAUGCUGCAGCAGACAAUGGCAGGGUGGCGUGUAGGCGGGAAGUGAGGCCACGGCAGGAUUCGCUUUCCAGAGACCCGUCUCCUUCCAGGGGUCAGCAGUGGUCUCCCGGACCUGUCACUCAGGGUUGUCUGCAUGUGACUCUCUUCCAAACCACGUUUCCUGGCUGCGGCCCAGCGGCUCGUCAGCACCUGUCUGCAGGGACUCAAAGGACCCUGGAGAGAACUCGCAGAGACCCCAAGCUGGAGUCUGUGGCUGGAGCUGGAGCGUUUGUUUUUCACGUUUACGUUUUCGAGGUGGUCAUCUUUACGCGGUCAGUUUUUGGUUCGUCUUUCCUGUGUUGUCCUUGAGUUUUGUCGUGCUUAGCCGACCCGCUGACACCUCCUGGUGCGUCCAGGCAGGUGAGUGCCUUGUGGGAGAAGCAGCAGCAGCCCGAGUCUGAGAAAGCCUCGGCCAGCAGGGAAGUCACUGGUGAACGCGUGGAAGAGGGUUUGUUGGAUGCUUUCUAGGUUCCAGGCACUGUUCUAGACGCUGAGCAAGGAGCCUGUCGCAAAGCAGAGUCAUGUCCGCCUCCCCAGACCCCCCGCCCCGCAACAGAGCUCACAUUGUGGCCGGGGAAGGCAGACAAGUAAACUGGUAAAUAUAUGGCAUUUCUCAUGGAGAAAAGGCAGAGUACUUAGGAGAGAUGGCUUCUGUUUUAUAUGGCGGUAAAGAAAGGCCCUUCCGAGGGGUGGGUCCCCUGAGGAUGUCUGUGGGGAGGUGUUCACAGGGGCAGGGUGGGCGCUGGGGCUGGGCUUCUAUUCCCAAAACACAGUAACCCGCCAGCAAACGUGCCCUUCAUCUCUUCCAUCCCUGUCCCACAGUAACUGGGCUUCAGUCCUUGGUCUCCCUCUCCGAGAUGCUCCCAAAUCCUCCCGAACGCCAAUCCACCUUCCAGAAUCUUCUCUCACCCAACCCCCCAUCACGCAUCUAUGCAUUUCUUCCUUAGACAGUUCUGUGCCCUACCUGCCAUGACCCACCUGCUCUCCUGUGCCCAGAUCCAUGGACCAAAAACUCUGAGGACGAAAGCCAUGGACCUCCAGGGACGACGAGAAAGGCUGUCGACAGUCAUGUUGUGUUUACAAACAUAUUUUUUGCGCUCUUUACAAAGGUCUGACACUCCGAGAUUGAGACAGUCACCCACUUCGGGGACAUUUAAAUAACAUUUAAAGCUUUAUUCCAUAUGGAAAUUAUUUCUGUGUAAGGAAUGACUAAGGUGCCAAAUGGCUAGCUAGCUGUCCUAUCGUUGGCUUUAUAUUCCUAAAAUUCACCCUUUAAAGUGGAGUCUUCCCAUCUGGGUUAAAAGCAGAUUUGGGAGUUAGACCACCUGAGUUCAAAUCUUGGUUCUGCCACUUAUGAGCUGUGUGGUCUUUGCUCAAUGACUCACCCUCUCUGAGGCUCAGUUUCCAUUUUGAUGAAAACAGUAAAAAUACUACUUCAUAGAGCUUUUAUAAAGAUUAAAACAAUCAUCACAUAUGAUGCAAUUAGACUGCACACAGUGGCAGGUAUAAUUAUGUAUGAUUAUUAGGUAUAAUGUUUUUAGUAUUAUAAUUACUGCCAAUGAUUACGGAGCACAGUUGAGUAACAUGAAACAAAAUCCUUCUUAAGGUUCUGCCUUGCUGACUUGCAAGAUUUCUGCUUUAAAAAAAAACACUUUAAUUUCAUUAUUUGUAGUUUAUAAACUCACGGACAUACAUUUGCCUUUCGUCACCUCUAAAGCAAGCUCAUCCUAAAUCAAGCUGAGAAAACAUCUUUCGAGGAUAAGGAUUCACUGUUCUGGAAGCUUCUACUGUCACAUGGCCACUUAAGACUAACGUGAACACUUUAGACUCUGUGGGCCACGUGAUCUCUGCAGAAACAAAUGGGCCUGUUUCGAUGACACUUUAUUUACAGACACAGGUGGCAGGCCGGAUUUUGUCCUCAGGCUAUAGUUUGCUGACCACUGUAUUAGGGGAAGAAGCAGAAAAGUGGGUUAUGGUUUUGGUCGAGGUCACUGACCCUGAUCGUCAAGGGCAAGCCGGCUCGUGAAAACCCCAGAACACCAGAGACACGUCUUGAAUCAACAUGCCACUGGGCCAGUCGACCAGGGUAAAUACUGAGGGACGGUAGCCACUCCACACGAGCAGACCCUGCAAGAGAGGAAAUCCUUCCAGAACAAAGCUUCGGCCCUGCUCCCUGGGCACGGGAGGCCGCCAGCCUCGGUAGCUGCUGGUCUCAAGACUAGGCAUGGCACCUGGCACCGUGCCUGCCACCCGCAUCCCCGUUCUCACUCUCGGAGUGUCUGAGGCUGAACUGUCUCCUUUUCCUUUCUUAUUUCUCCUUUGAAAACAGUCGUGCUCACAAGUCCCCGCUCCUCUCCUUCCUUCUCCCUAAUAACAGCUGAUGGUUUUAUCGAGCUUGCGUAUGCAUCGGAGCAGGCCUGGCUCCCUCCCUUCCUGAACUCCAUAAAUGGCCCCAAAUCCUUCCAAAAGAUUAUCAUCUUCAUCGUAAAAACGGUCAUGUGAAAGUAAAGGACAGGGACCACAAACGAAUUCGGAAAUAUGCCCCUCACAGAAAUCCGGUUCUAAGGUUUCCAGCAGGCAAUGCGGACAGGAAACACCGGGCCAUUUUGUCAUCGGUGUCCCCUAUAGACGAAACAACCCAGCUGCUCAGAAGUCCAGCUUUCCUUGAUGAUGAGAUUUCUCCCGGGGGCUGGUGUAACGACAGUGUGUUCACGACCCCUUCCGACGGACACGGCGGCUGAAGGCCCUCCGCACAGGCCGACGGCACCGCUCCCAAGGUCAACCUUGUGAAACUGGCUCUGGGGCAGCAGGGAGUAAUACCGAGUCUGGGCACCUUGAUCCGGGAACAGACUGAGGCAGAGCAGAAAGACUGUGUGCCCUCCACUCACGCCUGGAGAGUCAGGUGGCAGGGGCCCAAGGGGCCUCCCGGUGAUGGCCCCGCCUUCGCACCUCACCGACGACAGGGCUGGGCUAGUCGGUUUCUACUCGGGGCAAGUCGAGGACCCGGGCUGGCUGGUUCAAGGGUGACGGCACAGGCAGCUGUUCUGGGCCAGGCCCACGCUGGUCUGACCAGCAGCCGGCCACUCCGGGGUCCUCCUGAGCCCAGCCCAUGGCUGCCUCCACAGAUGGCAGAGAAGAACCUUAACCAGCAGCCCACCCCAUGGCACCCGACCAUGACAGACCGCUGAAACAGGCUAUGUUCUAGCCAAGGACAUUGAAGGGCCCUUUAAAACGCCGAACUGAAGAAGGCAGCGUGGGCUCCUGCUGCCCGUUCUCGGUACCCACAUCCCUCCCGAAGGCCGCCUCAGGCCGCCCCUUCACAAACAGCCCUGGUAGGCUGGCCACCUGACACCAGUAUCCCCUACGGCCCAGCCCGGGACAGGAACUGGGUCUGGGCUUCUCCUAAGACCUGUGUGCCAGGGUGAAAAGUGUUCUCCCCGAAUUCAUGUCUUCUUAGCAACCUCGGAGUGUGUGUGUGACCCUACUCGGAAAUAGGGUCGUUGCAAACGUAAUUCACUGAGAUGACGCUGGAGUAGGGUGGGCCCUCAAUCCAAUUUGACCGGUGUCCUUACGUGAACAUGAAGACCACCACGUGACGACCGAGGCGGAGACCAAAGCGAUGCUUCUACAAGCCAAGGGCCCCCCAGGAUGGCCAGCCACACCAGAAGCCAACAAAAGCACGGGACAGACACUUCUCUAGAUUCUUCAGAGGGAGCACGAUCCUCCGGACACCUGGAUUGUGGACUUCCGGUCUCUAAAACUGUGAGAGAGUGAGUUUCUGCUGUUUAAGCCACCCGCUUUGGGGUACUUUGUUAUGGCCACCCAGAAAACGAACAGCCUUGACCCAUCGUAGCCAACGCACGCGUGAUGCUACCUCUGAAGAAACAGGACACUCAGAUGCAGGCGAUGAUGGAAUAUUGGAGCAUGUCAGGGUCCCCGUCACGGAAGCUGGGAUGCUCCCUAGAACAUUGGAACGUCAGUGCUGGGACACACCUGUCCCCUCAGGCUUCACAGGUAUAGUUCUCAACUCCAUGUCACCUGGUCACGUCAGCCAUGACAGCUACUUUGUCAUACGACAUUUAUGCAUUUACACUUAGGUCCACUCAUGGUGGGGGGUGACUUUAGGGGUACUAGGAACAAUACCCCACACCACCAUAAAAAAAUUAAAGAAAAGAGAGAAGAGAGACACCCCUACCCUUUCCUUCUAAGUCACAGAGGCUGAGACUGCUUUCUGUGGCCUGGCCUCGUGGGUCACCUCCUGCACUGACCUGCAGGUCUCGACGCCAGUGCAGCCUGGACAUAAAAGCAGACCCCGCUCCCCAACUCCCGACGCCCACGAGCAAGGCUGUUCUCUAAGUCACCGUCUCCCUGAAUAAAAACUUUCUACGCUGUCAGAGCUGAGGAGAGCAGAGAGAUGCACCCAGACACAGGAGAGGAGAAAGCGAACUCCCCCCGCUUCAGAGUCCGCCUGGUAAAUGUCCAACUAGGACCAGUGGCGCUCAGCUGAGAGUAUUUUACACUUAGAUCACGAAUACCCACGAGCCUAAAGAACUCUGCCUGAAACACGCAUUUCCUUCCCGAUUCUCCAGCUAAUGAACCCCCGUUGCCCGGGGUCGAUCUGCCAGAAACAGGUACAGUCAAGUCCCCCGACCCCAAACCACAGGCCCUGGGGCCAGGCCCGAGCGAGGGAAGGCGGGAGGCCCUGCCUCGGUAGCGGGGGCCUCCUCAGGGGCCGCAGCGCACCAGGUGGGUUAGUGCAGGCGGAAUGUGACACAUGGACAGGUGCGUUCCCGGGGGAGAGACGCAGACACGUGCACCCAGCACCAGGUCGCGAUCAGCCACCGGGCCAGCUCCGGCGCCCUUGCCGGUGGCACCGUGGCCAAGCGGCCACAGGGAAGGUCCUCAGCAGCCCGGCACCCACCUGCAACGAGAGU
This is a long non-coding RNA of Pteropus alecto (black flying fox), 10006 nucleotides long. RefSeq lists it as uncharacterized. Lineage: Eukaryota; Metazoa; Chordata; Mammalia; Chiroptera; Pteropodidae. The record is from RefSeq and is a predicted model, not a curated record. The transcript has 3 exons.